GUGCCAGCAGCCGCGGUAACACGUAGGGGGCGAGCGUUGUUCGGAAUUAUUGGGCGUAAAGGGCGCGCAGGCGGCCCGGUAAGUCUGGUGUUUAAGACCGCAGCUUAACUGUGGUAAUGCGCUGGAAACUGUCGGGCUUGAGUGCAGGAGGGGGAGCUGGAAUUCCAGGUGUAGGGGUGAAAUCUGUAGAGAUCUGGAAGAACACCGGUGGCGAAGGCGAGCUCCUGGCCAUGGACUGACGCUGAGGCGCGAAAGCGUGGGGAGCAAACAGGAUUAGAUACCCUGGUAGUCCACGCUGUAAACGAUGUACACUAGGUGUCGGUGCUGAUGCAUCGGUGCCGUAGCAAACGCGUUAAGUGUACCGCCUGGGGAGUAUGCCGGCAACGGUGAAACUCAAAGGAAUUGACGGAG
This 411-nucleotide ribosomal RNA is filed under the name uncultured prokaryote. Its description in RNAcentral is "bacterial SSU rRNA". It matches the Rfam family "Bacterial small subunit ribosomal RNA", at positions 505 to 918 of the family's 1533-position model. The record is from RNAcentral.